Molecule: long non-coding RNA, 1587 nt
Filed under: Heterocephalus glaber (naked mole-rat)
Lineage: Eukaryota; Metazoa; Chordata; Mammalia; Rodentia; Bathyergidae
Description: lncRNA (ENSHGLG00100042497.1)
Source: RNAcentral
UUAUUGUUUCCCGCAGGAGUAUAUGCACAGGUCAAUACCGCUGCCAAGCGGGCAUGGCAGAAGCUGCCUUCUACAGGACGCUGAAGGUGCCAGGCGGCUGCCUGAAAGAUUGGUCCAUUUUGCAGGAAAUUUUCCUGCCCCUUAGGAUGAUCCCGACAACUGUCCUGAUGAUAAAUCUAAUGAUGAUGCUUAAUGAGAAUGUUUAUUGGACUUAUGCACCUGAUCCACCUGUUGUACAUCCAACGAGCUGAAAAAAUGGACAAGUAAUGGUAUGGAUGAACAAUACCAGGCUGUUGGAUGAGCCGGCAGCACCUGACAAGAACGAGGUCCAAUUGUUCAACUAUACAGAAUCAGAAACCGGAACCCCCCAUAUGUUUCUUCAAAAUCAACAGAACUGAUUGUAUAAGACUGAGUGCUCGCACCCUGACAGGAAGGCAGGUGGAUCAAUGCAAAGGUGGGAUCACUGGAGUCCAUCUACAUCUACCUGUGGGUAUAGAGACCACUGGUGUAGUGCCUCAGACUUUUAAUGCUGCAAUAAGACUAUUCCAUGGAAGGGAUGUGUGGCAGAUGCCUCUGUGAGAUAUAAUAUUACUGGACUUGAUACUUAUGUUUUGGACUGGUCUGAAAAUUCUUGUCACCCCAAAAGAAAUGUCAUUGCAAGCGUCAUGCGCUCUUAUGUAUUCCUUGUAAGAAAUAUUAGUGUUCAGAAAGGUUAUGAUUAUUAUAGUGUAAUUUGCUUUAAUUGUCAAAUAAGCAGUUGUGUCACCCGAACAGAAAAUCAGAUAAUGGUUUUGCGAACGUGUUCUUAGAUUUGGAUAUUAUAGAUCCCCCAAAAUGCAGAACCCCUGGAAUUUGAUGCAGCCCAGGCUGCACAGGAUUUUAUCGAACAAAUUAGAAAGGUUCUGCCAUCUACAUCUGCAUUUACGUGGUAACUCAUUUCCAUAGUAAUUAUUGGAGGAGGGCUGCCUCUUAGAUGCAUGAUCCUUCCGGCACUACUGCAGAUGUUUGUGCAUUCUUUAAUGAGGAUGGCUGGAAGUAUUCAUGGUCUAUAAUUACAUGCUACACCGCCUAAACCCAUGGUGUAAUUCCCUGCAGAGGCUGGUAGUCAAUGAUGGGUAAGUGGAGUAUAGGAAAUCACCAACCUAAGACAAAGCAAGAGUACUGUGAUGCUCUUGACUCCAUGACAGGUAAGGGAUUUCUUUAUAUUCCUCGCCUAAGACAGGCACAGUCUAUCUGCGUGAUCAAGGGACCUUGAUCAUAAUAUAUAAAACGGGGAGAUGUGGAGAGCAGUGUGAGGAGAGCGGUGUUAGCCAAAGAGGCUCCAUUUUGAAUCUUACCCUCCAUUGUAUAGAGCAAGGAGACUAUGUUAUGAGGAACCACGUCCUUGCCGAAUUAGAUUGUCCUGGAACGUGAUGAAUGUUCUGUAACCCCGAGAAACAAGGAAGCCCAUGAGGGUGGGGAAUUCCCAAAGAACUAGAAAACAAGGAAGCAGGUGUCUCUGGAUGAGGGUCAUGAUUAACAAGCAAACUCACCUGUUGUAGAAAAGAGAGGAGAAAAAUAAACUUGGGCGCUUGGUCUCUGGGAGCC